Molecule: long non-coding RNA, 885 nt
Organism: Magnolia sinica
Lineage: Eukaryota; Viridiplantae; Streptophyta; Magnoliopsida; Magnoliales; Magnoliaceae
Exons: 3
Source: RefSeq, a predicted model, not a curated record
UCUCUCUCUCUCUCUCUACAACUUGGAGUAGAUCUAGUUUGGAUUUCCUUUAGCCUUUCCCCCUUCACUCGUUUUUAGGGUUUUGAAUAUUGCUUGGAGCAAAUCUAGUUGAGGUCGAAGCAUUUGGUGGAGGGUUUCUUGUAGAAAUUGCAUUUUGUGAGAAGUCCUGUUUUUUGAUUUUUUAGGCGUUUGGAGUUAUAGAUCUGAUUGGCAUUAAAGUGCAAAUUCUAGACGUGCUGAAGAAAGCGGAAGAGGAGUCCAAUUUCCAGACGUGCAGGGGCCUAAUUUUAUCAUGUGAGGUGGGUUUUUUCAAAGGGGUUUUGAAGAUUCUCGAGAAGGACAAGCAAAAUUCUAUGGGGUGGGACUGGAAGAGAUUUUUAAGAUAUUUUUUGAAGCUAAAAGAAAAGAAUGGCCAAUUGAGAAGCUGAGGAAGUUUGAGGUCCCCAAAGCUCCAAAAUAUAUUUUCCUAUCAUUUGUCUACUGGGACAUGCACCAAUACACUGCCAACACUCUUAUGUAACCUGUCUUGCUGCAGCAGAAAAAAAAAUGUAAUUUCUAUCUCAAAAUCCUCAAGCAAAUUUCAUUUAUUUUUUGUGUUAGUUUCAUUUGAUAGCAUACGAAAGACACGUCUCUUCAAUUUAUACAUUUUCUUGUGGAAGGUCUUUUCUUGUUUGACAGGGAACUUUAUUAAUACAAAGAUCUCUAAAAACAUGUUUUCCCAAUCUGAGCUACAAUCAAAUUGUAGGACACUUUUUUGCCCUUAUGUUUGUCAUCCCCUGCUCAAUUAAAAAAAUAAUGCUGCCUAGAUGCCUGGCGGUGUUGAUAGCAAUCAGGUUGUAGACCUUUAUCCUAUAUAUGCAUUGACAGAUGCAGGUGAAAAGUUUG